UACGAAGGGGGCUAGCGUUGCUCGGAAUCACUGGGCGUAAAGGGCGCGUAGGCGGCCGAUCAAGUCAGGGGUGAAAGCCUGAGGCUCAACCUCAGAACUGCCUUUGAUACUGUUCGGCUCGAGACCGGUAGAGGUAAGUGGAACUGCGAGUGUAGAGGUGAAAUUCGUAGAUAUUCGCAAGAACACCAGUGGCGAAGGCGGCUUACUGGACCGGUUCUGACGCUGAGGCGCGAAAGCGUGGGGAGCAAACAGG
This 253-nucleotide ribosomal RNA is filed under the name uncultured bacterium. RNAcentral describes it as "partial 16S ribosomal RNA". It matches the Rfam family "Bacterial small subunit ribosomal RNA", at positions 524 to 776 of the family's 1533-position model. The record is from RNAcentral.